CCUACGGGUGGCAGCAGUGAGGAAUAUUGGUCAAUGGGCGGGAGCCUGAACCAGCCAAGUCGCGUGAGGGAAGACGGUCCUAUGGAUUGUAAACCUCUUUAGGCGGGGAGCAAUGCCGGGCACGCGUGCCCGGAUGGAGAGUACCCGCAGAAUAAGCAUCGGCUAACUCCGUGCCAGCAGCCGCGGUAAUACGGAGGAUGCGAGCGUUAUCCGGAUUUAUUGGGUUUAAAGGGUGCGUAGGCGGAUUUUUAAGUCAGCGGUAAAAUGUCCGGGCUCAACCCGGGCCGGCCGUUGAAACUGGUGAUCUUGAGUGGGCGAGAAGUAUGCGGAAUGCGUGGUGUAGCGGUGAAAUGCAUAGAUAUCACGCAGAAUUCCGAUUGCGAAGGCAGCAUACCGGCGCCCGACUGACGCUGAGGCACGAAAGCGUGGGGAUCGAACGGGAUUAGAUACCCCAGUAGUC
RNAcentral lists this ribosomal RNA (460 nucleotides) under uncultured bacterium. RNAcentral describes it as "partial 16S ribosomal RNA". It matches the Rfam family "Bacterial small subunit ribosomal RNA", at positions 338 to 795 of the family's 1533-position model. The record is from RNAcentral.